GACUAUCGAGUUUAACUUCAAUCUCAAGUUAAUUACGUAUUAUUAAUCAUUGCCUUUUCAAAGUAUGUUGAUUGGAAUUUUUGAGUAAUGAGUUGUGACUUUUUUGCAUUUGUUAUCUUUUGGGAGGACUAAUGCUAUUGACUAUCGGACUUGAUUGGAUGUACACCGCUAAUAGCGGUGCCUAGGGCCCAGGACUUGUUAAAAAUAUGUCGCCAAGUCUUUAAAUAUUGAGGUACGUAACGAUUGUUUUAAAUUUUGUAUAUUUGUGUUGAGUCGUAAUUAACUUGAACUUGAAGUUUCCCGGAUUCCAAUCAAUCUCAGAGUUAAUUAGGUAUAUUAGACACUGCCAUAUGUGUAAUUUGUCCUUUUGCAAAUUUUGUCUGAUUUGAACUUUUCAUUAAUAACUAUUGACUGUUUUUUCUAUCAUUUUGUGUUUGCGAGGAUUAUUGCUUUUGACUAUCGGGUAUGACUUCAAUCUUAAGUUAAUUAGGUAUUAUUAAUCAUUGCCUUUUCAAAGUAUGUUGAUUGGAAUUUUUGAGUAAUGAGUUGUGACUGUUUUGCAUUUGUUUUUCUUUUGUGAGGACUUAAUGCUAAUUGUCUAGUCAGCUUGCUUGGAUGUUCCUCCGCUAAAAUAACGGUGCCUAGAGGGCCCCAGGACUUUUUCAAAAACAAUAUCGCCAAGCCUUUAAAUAUUGAGGUACGUAACGAUUGUGUUAAAAUUUUGACUAUUUUUGUCUUCUUCGUAUUAACUUGAACUUCAGUUUUCCGGGUUCCCUUUCAAGCUCCAGUUUAAUUAUAGGUAUUUUGACAAUGCCAUAUGUUGUAGUUUGUCUAUUUUAAUUUUUCUGAUUGACGUUUAGUAAAUAACUAGUGACUGUUUCUAUUCUUUUGUUUUGCGAGGAUUAUUGCUAUUGACUAUCGAGUUUAACUUCAAUAUCAAGUUAAUUAGGUAUUAUUAGUCAAUACCUUUUCAAAGUAUACUGAUUGGAAUUUUUGAGUAAUGAGUAGUGACUAUUUUGCAAUUAUUUUCUCUUGUGAGGGGUAAUGCUAUUGACUAUCGGACUUGAUUGGAUGUAGCCCGCUAAUAACGGUGCCUAGGGCCCAGGACUUGUCAAAAACAUAUCGCCAAGCCUUUAGAUAUUGAGGUACGUAACGAUUGUUUUAAAUUUUGUAUAUUUAUCUUGGGAUCUUGGGCCGUAAUUACUUGACUUGAAACUUUUUUUUCGGGUUCAUUUCAGCUCACGUUAUUUAGGUAUUAUUGACAAUGCCAUAUUGUUGUUAGUUUGUCUUUUCAAUUUUUCUGAUUUGACUUUUCAGUAAUAACUAGUGACAGUUUUCUAUUCGUUUUCUUUUUCCAGGAUUAUUGCUAUUGACUAUGGGGUUUGACUUCAACCUCAACUUAAUUAGGUAUUAUUAGUCAAUGUCUUUUCAAAGCAUGCUGAUUGAAAUUUUUGAGUAUGAGUAGUGACUGUUUUGCAUUUGUUUUCUUUUCGAAGGACUAAUGCUAUUGUCUAUCGGACUUGAUUGGAUUUUCCUCUGCUAAUAGCGAUGCCUAGGGCCCAGGACUUGUCAAAAACAUAUCGCCAAGCCUUUAAAUAUUGAAGUACGUAACGAUUGUUUUAAAUUUUGUAAAUUUGUCUUCGACCGUAAUUAACUUGAACUUCAAGUUUUCCGGGUUCAAUUUCUAGCUCAAAUUAAUUAGGUAUUAUUUGACAAUGCCAUAUGUUGUAGUUUGUCUAUUUUAAAUUUUUAUGAUUUGAAGUUUAAAGUAAUAACUACUGACUGUUUUCUAUUUGUUUUGUUUUGCCGAGGAUUAUUGCUAUGGACUAUCGGUUUAACUUCAAUAUUCAAGUAAUAGGUAUCAUUAAUCAUUGCCUUUUCCAAAGUUGUUGAUCGGAAUGUUGAGUAUGAGUAGUAAAAUGUCUUGGAUUGGUUUCUUUGGGAGGAUAAUGUAUUGACUAUCGAUCUUGAUGAUGUACCCCGCUUAAUAGACGAUGCUAGGGACCCAGGACUUGUCAACAAACAUUCGCCAGCCUUGAAAUGUUCGAGGUAACGUAACGAUUGUUUUAAAUUUUGUAUAUUUGUCCUUGAGCCGUAAUGAACUUAAACUUGACAACUUUCCAGGGGGGUUUGGGUUUCAAUUUCAAGCUAAAGUACUUAGGUAUUAUUAGACAAUGCCAUGUGUUGUAGUUUGUUUGUUUCAAAUUUUUCUGAUUUGAAGUUUUGAGUAAUAACUAGUGACUGUUUUCUAUUCGUUUUGUUUUGCGAGGAUUAUUGCUUUUGACUAUCGGGUAUGACUUCAAUUUCAUGUUAGUUAGGUAUUAUUAAUCAUUGCCUUUUCAAAGUAUGUUGAUUGGAAUUUUUGAGUAAUGAGUUGUGACUGUUUUGCAUUUGUUUUCUUUUGUGAGGACUAAUGCUAUUGACUAUCGGACUUGAUUGGAUGUACCCCGCUAAUAGCGGUGCCUAGGGCCCAGGACUUGUUAAAAACAUAUCGCCAAGCCUUUAAAUAUUGUGGUAAGUAACGAUUGUUUUAAAUUUUGUAUAUUUAUCUUCUGCCGUAAUUAACUUGAACUUGAAGUUUAUCGGGUUCAAUUUUAAGCUCAAGUUAAUUAGGUAAUUAUUAGACAAUGCCAUAUGUUGUAGUUUGUCCUAUUUCCAAUUUUUCUGAUUUUGGAACUUUUCAUUUACUAGGACUUUUUUCUUUCGUUUUGUUUUGCGAGGAUUAUGCUAUUGACUAUUGGGGUUUGACUCAACGCUCAAGUUAAUUAGUAUUAGUAGUCAUGCCUUUUCAAAGCAUGCUGAUUGAAAUUGUUUUUGAGUAAUGAGUAGUGACUGUGUUUUGUUCAUUUGUUUUCUUUUGGGAAGGACGUAAUGGCUCUUGUCUAUCGUACUUGAUUGGAUUUUCCUCGCUAAUAGCGGUGGCCUAGGGCUCCAAGACUUGUUCAAAAACAUGUCGCCAAGUCCUUUAAUAUGGAGGUACUUAACGAUUGUUUUUAAAAUUUUGUAUAUUUGUUCUUCGACCUGUAAUUAAAAUUGAACUUGAAGUUUUCCGGGUUUCAUAUUUUCAAACUCAAGUUAAUUUGGGUAUUAUUAGACAUACCAUAUGUUUGUUAUGUUGUCUAUUUUAAAUUUUUCCUGAUUGGACCUUUUGAUUAAUAACUAAUGGACUGUGUUCUAUUCGUUUCGUUUUGGUUCGAAGAUUAUUGCGUGCUAUUGACUAAUUGGAUUUGACUUCAACCUCAAGUUAAUUUGGUAUUAUUAGUUAAUACCUUUUCAAAGAAUACUGAUUGGAAUUUUUGAGUAAUGAGUAGUGACUGUUUUGACUUUUGUUUUCAUGGGUAACAACAGGGGGAUUGAGGGGGGAGGGGGGGUACGGGGGGGCGGGCCCAGGGGGAAGGAGUGGGGACCUUUAGUUGAUCUUCUGGGCCCCUUUCCGUUUUCCUUUCAGGCGUCAUGGCUUCUCUAUUCUUGGAUGUACCCCGCUAAUAGCGGUGCCUAAGGCCCAGGACUUAUUAAAAACAUUCGCUAAGCCUUUAAUGUUGAGGUAUGUAACGAUUAUUUUAAAUUUUGUAUAUUUAUCUUGGUCCGUAAUUAACUUGAACUAUGAGUUUCCGGUUCAAUUCAAACUCAUUAGUAGGUAUUAUUAUACAAUGGCAUAUGUUGUUGUUUGUCUAUUUUAAAUUUCUCUAAUUUGAACUUCUAAUAACUAUGAUUGUUUUUCUAUCUUUCGUUUUUUUUUUGUGAGGAUUAUUGCUAUUAUCUAUCAGAGUUUUAACAAUCAAUCUCAAGUUAAUUAGGUAUUAUAAUCAAUUGCCUUUUCAAAGUAGCUGAUUGGAAUUUUGAGUAAUGAUUAGUGACUGUUUUUUGCAUUUGUUUUCUUUUGGGAGGAACUAACUGCUAUUGGUCCUAUCGUACUUGAUUGGAUUUUCCUCCGCUAAUUAGCGGUGCCUAGGGCACCCAACGACUUGUCAAAAACGAUGUCGUGCCGCACGCCCAAGCGCCAGCCUUUAAAAUAUUGAGGUACGUAACGAUUGUUUUAAAUUUUGUAUAUUUGCUUCGACCGUAAUUACUGAACUUGAGUUUUCGGGAUUCAAUUUCAAGCUCAAGUUAAUUAGGUAUUAUUAGACAACGCCAUAUGUUGUAUUUUGUCUAUUUUAAAUUUUUCUGAUUUGAAGUUUUGAGUAAUAACUAAUGACUGUUUUCUAUUCGUUUUGUUUUGCGAGGAUUAUUGCUUUUGACUAUCGGGUAUGACUUCAACCUCAAGUUAAUUAGGUAUUAUUAGUCAAUGCCUUUUCAAAGUAUGCUGAUUGAAAUUUUUGAGUAAUGAGUAGUGACUAUUUUGCAUUUAUUUUCUUUUGGGAAGACUAAUGCUAUUGACUAUCGGACUUGAUUGGAUGUACCCCGCUAAUAGCGAUGCCUAGGGCCCAGGACUUGUCAAAAACAUAUCGCCAAGCCUUUAAAUAUUGAGGUACGUAACGAUUGUUUUAAAUUUUGUAUAUUUGUCUUGGGCCGUAAUUAACUUGAACUUGAAGUUUUUCGGGUUCAAUUUCAAACUCAAGUUAAUUAGGUAUUAUUAGACAAUGCCAUAUGUUGUAGUUUGUCUAUUUUAAAUUUUUCUGAUUUGAACUUUUGAGUAAUAACUAGUGACUGUUUUCUAUUCGUUUUGUUUUGUGAGUAUUUUUGCUAUUGACUAUCGAGUUUAACUUCAAUCUCAAGUUAAUUAGGUAUUAUUAAUCGUUGCUUUUUCAAAGUAUGUUGAUUGAAAUUUUUAAGUAAUGAGAAGUGACUAUUUUGCAUCUGUUUUCUUUUGUGAGGUGUAAUGCUAUUGACUAUAGACUUGAUUGGAUGUACCCCGCUAAUAGCGGUGCCUAGGGCCCAGACCUUGUUAAAAAUAUGUCGCCAAGUCUUUAAAUAUUGAGGUACGUAA
RNAcentral lists this long non-coding RNA (4927 nucleotides) under Actinidia chinensis (golden kiwifruit). Its description in RNAcentral is "long non-coding RNA (ACHI_LNC005118)". Lineage: Eukaryota; Viridiplantae; Streptophyta; Magnoliopsida; Ericales; Actinidiaceae. The record is from RNAcentral.